RNAcentral lists this transfer RNA (73 nucleotides) under Stegodyphus mimosarum. It matches the Rfam family "tRNA". Rfam says of the family: Transfer RNA (tRNA) molecules are approximately 80 nucleotides in length. Their secondary structure includes four short double-helical elements and three loops (D, anti-codon, and T loops). Further hydrogen bonds mediate the characteristic L-shaped molecular structure. tRNAs have two regions of fundamental functional importance: the anti-codon, which is responsible for specific mRNA codon recognition, and the 3' end, to which the tRNAs corresponding amino acid is attached (by aminoacyl-tRNA synthetases). tRNAs cope with the degeneracy of the genetic code in two manners: having more than one tRNA (with a specific anti-codon) for a particular amino acid; and 'wobble' base-pairing, i.e. permitting non-standard base-pairing at the 3rd anti-codon position. Lineage: Eukaryota; Metazoa; Arthropoda; Arachnida; Araneae; Eresidae. The record is from Rfam by way of RNAcentral.
GGCUUCGUGGUGUAGUGGUCAGCACACUUGGCACUUAUUCGAGAGGUCCGAGGUUCGAGUCCCGGCAAGGACA